UUCCCGGGAGGCUCAGCCAGGUGCCUGGAGCGGGAGAGUCGGACUCAGAUUCCUGCUUUACCUAGAAUAGCAACGUGCCCUGUUCCCGUUGUACCCUCUUAAAUACUAUACUUCUUAAACGGCCUGUCUCCCGGUGAGCUCUGUUCUCUUCUCAUAUGAGUAAUGAAAAUUAAGAGGAUGAAUGAAACCUCACACAUGUUGUGGACUUUGCUGAAUAGGUUAGCAAAUGACUGCAGGCCUU
This 241-nucleotide long non-coding RNA is filed under the name Homo sapiens (human). RNAcentral describes it as "long non-coding RNA NONHSAT211635". The record is from RNAcentral. Lineage: Eukaryota; Metazoa; Chordata; Mammalia; Primates; Hominidae.